This is a long non-coding RNA of Anguilla anguilla (European eel), 997 nucleotides long. RefSeq lists it as uncharacterized. The record is from RefSeq and is a predicted model, not a curated record. The transcript has 2 exons. NCBI's taxonomy places the organism in Eukaryota, Metazoa, Chordata, Actinopteri, Anguilliformes, Anguillidae.
UUCCGACUUCCGGUAGAUGGUAGUAUAUGUUCAAGAAUAUUUAUUCUGGUUUUAAGAAGGAAAUUAUCACAUGGGCUGUCGAAAAGAACAGUUCACAUUUCAUUUUUUCUAAACAAUUGCAGUUAAUGUGAUAGCCUACCUCAUAAUAAAUUGCAUAAUGUAGUAAGCCACAAUUAUUGCAUUGGUAUUGGAAUUGAUCCCCAAAGGGACUCACGAUAAAUUAUGUCACAAAUGCAAGCCAAGGUACUUUGAAUUGAAUGAACACCGAGCACUUUACUGCGCAGACCCAGAGCUGUCAUCAGAACUGGAUUUUUCCACGGGCAAUUUCAGCGCUGGUGAAUGAGGCACGGCCAGCAACACCUUGCCGUGCUUUCUUCGGUGUCAGGACUGCUCCAGCUAUCCAUCACUCCUCUAAUUGUGGAAACAUCAGGAGUCUGCUCACAAUCCCACAAGACCAUUACAGUAUCAGUGUCCUGCUGCAGAUGGGCUGCAAAUCGAAUCACACCCAAACAGCUCCUGCACUGAUGAGAGAGGCCCCACUUUGAAAAAACAGCAGAGAAUGGUGAACAUGAUGGAAGGACUGAGGAUGUGUGAAACAGAGAGUGAACAGUGAACAAAAAAGCAGAGAAAAGGAUUAAGAAUGAGAUUUAAUUAAAUUUGACUUCAUUUAAAUCCAUGGAAUACUGUGAAACAUAAACCAACAAAGUAAAACAUAAGAAUUAAUGAUCAAAGACGAGGGAGAUAUUUUGUGGGGGGAAAAAAAAGAAUUGUACAAAAUUCACUUUCAUAAAAAUGGUUUAAUGGACCUUGAAACUCUAACCAGUCAGUUGUGAUGGAAUGAAACAUAAUUACAGGGAGAAUAAAUUAACGGUUUAGUUCCUGUUCAGUGUCUUGCUGAAGGAACUGAUUUAUUCUUUGUUUACUCAUGAAACUACUGAUUUCCAUCACCUGUUCUCAGACCUUAAUAAAGUACUGAAAUCCCAACCUGUUCUCAGAC